This 484-nucleotide ribosomal RNA is filed under the name uncultured bacterium. Its description in RNAcentral is "bacterial SSU rRNA". It matches the Rfam family "Bacterial small subunit ribosomal RNA", at positions 28 to 507 of the family's 1533-position model. The record is from RNAcentral.
GAUGAACGCUAGCUACAGGCUUAACACAUGCAAGUCGAGGGGCAGCGCAGUGUAGCAAUACAUGGGCGGCGACCGGCGCACGGGUGCGUAACGCGUAUCCAACCUUCCCGUUACUCAGGGAUAGCCUUCCGAAAGGGAGAUUAAUACCUGAUGGUGUUUGAAUUCCGCAUGUUAUUCAAACUAAAGAUUUAUCGGUAACGGAUGGGGAUGCGUGACAUUAGAUAGUAGGCGGGGUAACGGCCCACCUAGUCUACGAUGUCUAGGGGUUCUGAGAGGAAGGUCCCCCACACUGGAACUGAGACACGGUCCAGACUCCUACGGGAGGCAGCAGUGAGGAAUAUUGGUCAAUGGCCGGAAGGCUGAACCAGCCAAGUAGCGUGAAGGAUGAAGGUUCUAUGGAUUGUAAACUUCUUUUAUACGGGAUAAAACCUCCACGUGUGGGAGCUUGUAUGUACCGUAUGAAUAAGCAUCGGCUAACUCCGUG